This 81-nucleotide transfer RNA is filed under the name Felis catus (domestic cat). It matches the Rfam family "tRNA". From Rfam's summary of the family: Transfer RNA (tRNA) molecules are approximately 80 nucleotides in length. The record is from Rfam by way of RNAcentral. Lineage: Eukaryota; Metazoa; Chordata; Mammalia; Carnivora; Felidae.
GCCUGGCUCAGUUGGUUAAGCGUCUGACUUUGGCUCAGGUCAUGAUCUCACGGUUCGUGGGUUCGAGCCCCACAUCGGGCU